UAGCGGGUCUGAGAGGAUGAUCCGCCACACUGGGACUGAGACACGGCCCAGACUCCUACGGGAGGCAGCAGUGGGGAAUAUUGGACAAUGGGGGGAACCCUGAUCCAGCCAUGCCGCGUGUGUGAAGAAGGCCUUAUGGUUGUAAAGCACUUUAAGCGAGGAGGAGGCUACUGAGACUAAUACUCUUGGAUAGUGGACGUUACUCGCAGAAUAAGCACCGGCUAACUCUGUGCCAGCAGCCGCGGUAAUACAGAGGGUGCGAGCGUUAAUCGGAUUUACUGGGCGUAAAGCGUGCGUAGGCGGCUUUUUAAGUCGGAUGUGAAAUCCCCGAGCUUAACUUGGGAAUUGCAUUCGAUACUGGGAAGCUAGAGUAUGGGAGAGGAUGGUAGAAUUCCAGGUGUAGCGGUGAAAUGCGUAGAGAUCUGGAGGAAUACCGAUGGCGAAGGCAGCCAUCUGGCCUAAUACUGACACUGAGGUGCGAAAGCAUGGGGAGCAAACAGGAUUAGAUACCCUGGUAGUCCAUGCCGUAAACGAUGUCUACUAGCCGUUGGGGCCUUUGAGGCUUUAGUGGCGCAGCUAACGCGAUAAGUAGACCGCCUGGGGAGUACGGUCGCAAGACUAAAACUCAAAUGAAUUGACGGGGGCCCGCACAAGCGGUGGAGCAUGUGGUUUAAUUCGAUGCAACGCGAAGAACCUUACCUGGCCUUGACAUACUA
Molecule: non-coding RNA, 716 nt
Filed under: Brugia timori
Lineage: Eukaryota; Metazoa; Nematoda; Chromadorea; Rhabditida; Onchocercidae
Description: Bacterial small subunit ribosomal RNA
Rfam family: Bacterial small subunit ribosomal RNA
Source: Rfam by way of RNAcentral